RNAcentral lists this ribosomal RNA (224 nucleotides) under uncultured bacterium. RNAcentral's name for it is "partial 16S ribosomal RNA". It matches the Rfam family "Bacterial small subunit ribosomal RNA", at positions 524 to 744 of the family's 1533-position model. The record is from RNAcentral.
UACAGAGGGUGCGAGCGUUGUCCGGAAUCACUGGGCGUAAAGGGCGCGUAGGUGGCCCGACAAGUCCGUGGUGAAAGCUCGACGCUCAACGUCGAGUCGGCCAUGGAUACUGGUUGGGCUGGAGCACUGUAGAGGCUCAUGGAAUUCCGGGUGUAGCGGUGGAAUGCGUAGAGAUCCGGAAGAACACCGGUGGCGAAGGCGGGUGAGCUGGGCAGUUGGCUGAC